GUGUCAGCAGCCGCGGUAAGACAGAGGGUGCAAACGUUGUUCGGAAUUACUGGGCGUAAAGCGCGUGUAGGCGGCUGGGCAAGUCGGAUGUGAAAGCCCUGGGCUCAACCCAGGAAGUGCACUCGAAACUGCCGAGCUGGAGUCCCGGAGAGGAAGGCGGAAUUCUCGGUGUAGAGGUGAAAUUCGUAGAUAUCGAGAGGAACACCUGUGGCGAAGGCGGCCUUCUGGACGGCGACUGACGCUGAGACGCGAAAGCGUGGGGAGCAAACAGGAUUAGAAACCCGCGUAGUCC
This 292-nucleotide ribosomal RNA is filed under the name uncultured bacterium. Its description in RNAcentral is "partial 16S ribosomal RNA". It matches the Rfam family "Bacterial small subunit ribosomal RNA", at positions 505 to 796 of the family's 1533-position model. The record is from RNAcentral.